Molecule: ribosomal RNA, 497 nt
Filed under: Shigella sonnei
Lineage: Bacteria; Pseudomonadati; Pseudomonadota; Gammaproteobacteria; Enterobacterales; Enterobacteriaceae
Description: bacterial SSU rRNA
Rfam family: Bacterial small subunit ribosomal RNA
Source: RNAcentral
CUGAGAGGAUGACCAGCCACACUGGAACUGAGACACGGUCCAGACUCCUACGGGAGGCAGCAGUGGGGAAUAUUGCACAAUGGGCGCAAGCCUGAUGCAGCCAUGCCGCGUGUAUGAAGAAGGCCUUCGGGUUGUAAAGUACUUUCAGCGGGGAGGAAGGGAGUAAAGUUAAUACCUUUGCUCAUUGACGUUACCCGCAGAAGAAGCACCGGCUAACUCCGUGCCAGCAGCCGCGGUAAUACGGAGGGUGCAAGCGUUAAUCGGAAUUACUGGGCGUAAAGCGCACGCAGGCGGUUUGUUAAGUCAGAUGUGAAAUCCCCGGGCUCAACCUGGGAACUGCAUCUGAUACUGGCAAGCUUGAGUCUCGUAGAGGGGGGUAGAAUUCCAGGUGUAGCGGUGAAAUGCGUAGAGAUCUGGAGGAAUAUCGGUGGCGAAGGCGGCCCCCUGGACGAAGACUGACGCUCAGGUGCGAAAGCGUGGGGAGCAAACAGGAUUAG